Non-coding RNA from Chelonoidis abingdonii (Abingdon island giant tortoise), 126 nucleotides. Lineage: Eukaryota; Metazoa; Chordata; Testudines; Testudinidae. The record is from RefSeq and is a predicted model, not a curated record.
CGAGUUGCUUCAUUGCUGUUGUUAAAUCAAUCAGCAGGUGGCUGGCCCUGUUAGCAGCAGAAUGUUACCGAAGUCUCUCAUCUCACCCUUCUUUUUUUACAGGCUUUUUUAAAUGUAGAUCAAAGC